RNAcentral lists this ribosomal RNA (324 nucleotides) under Triticum aestivum (bread wheat). RNAcentral's name for it is "partial small subunit ribosomal RNA". The record is from RNAcentral. Lineage: Eukaryota; Viridiplantae; Streptophyta; Magnoliopsida; Poales; Poaceae.
AUGUUUAAAUGUCGCUACUCGGUCAGGAUUUGGAAUUUGAUGAAUGAUUGGUUGGGGAUACAGUCGCACACGACCUCUUGGGCCGAUUUUCCAUCCGUUGAAAGGUGGUGGGACACUAACGGACUUCUCAAACGCGCAAGCAGGAAGGCUCUCAACUCUCUGAAGAUGCUAAUAUGUUGGGCAAUUUGGAACGAAAGGAAUGCAAGGAUCUUUCAAAACAAGGCCUCCUUACCCACUCACAUAUUUUCAUCCAUCAAGGCAGAGGCGCAGCUAUGGGUGAGAGCGGGGGUUAAGUAUCUGAGGAACCUUAUUCCGGUAGAGUAA